CUCUCCUCGUGUCUUCUACAUAGUUAGCCAAGAAAGCUCAAGCUCAUGAGCUGUCAAUAUCCUAAGUCUAUACCAACUAAUCCUCAUGAUUAAAUGCCUAUAAUUCUUCUCAAAUUCAUGAUUCAUUACUGAUUUCUUUUCCAAGGAUUUAAACCCCAAAACUUAUAUCUUUUUCUCACGUCUGUUCUUUCCGUCUGUUUUCUGUAUCAUACAGUUGGUUUUUGUCAAUAAUUUCUGCGAUAACUUGCUGCUAUUCAACCAAGCUGUUGUUGCUCUUAUUCUGCUGUGGACCUUAAUUGCCCCUGUUCCGUGUUCUGUUCAUCUAAGUUCAAGUCUUCUUCAUCUCUUUGAUUGCAUGAAGAACCCUAUUCAAUUGUGAUGGAGGCAUAAUUUUCUAUGCCAAAUUUCUGUAAUUAAAUUUAUUUAUCAAAAUCAAAACCCAUUUAUGUAUAUUAUACUUAAUCGCUCUAAUUUUUACAAUGUAAAAUUGCAUGCUUAAACUGAAUAUUUUAAGUAGUCUUAUUAUUUAAAUUAGUUUGUUGAGUGGGUUUAAUUAGUAUCUCAUAAGUUGAGAUUAAAACCCAAAGUCGAGAUAAUUUCAAGAGUGAAAUUGAUCUUUGCGUUUUUUAAGGUGCAAAUUAGCUUAUCGACUGUGUAUGGAGUUCAGCUGCAAUAAGUUUUUUUUGAACGGUGCUGCAAUAAGUUUUGUACAAGUAUAUUAUAUUUGGUUUUUAUUCAGCUAAUAAUAUAUUAUGAUAUUAUAAAUCUCAACUAUUUUACCCCAUAAUUUCAUUAAGUUAUGAAGUAUAGUUUUCUAGAAAAAUGUUAAUUAGAUUAAGGAGUAAGGUGUACUAAUAGAGUUAGUAAAGUUAGCUUAUAAGGAUUUGUUGUAGUUUAUGAAAGGGUUGAGAAAGUAUUGCAAGUCAAUUUGUUUAUAAUGAUUGAGUAAUAAGAAUGAAUGAUAAUUGUUGUUAUUUUGUGAGGUGAUAUAUGGUUGGAGAACGGUUAUGGAGAUAUAUGAUUAGCUAGGACGGAGAUCAAAUCUAUGAUUCUUCGUGUAUCAAUUUGAAAGGUACACACAUGUUCUUCCACUUUCAAACUUGGAAUUUGUCAUUCAUAUAAUUAUAUGGAUUUUACGGGUUGAGUUCAACAUGCUUUUAUAUCUUAUAAAAGUAAAUUGUUUUACAAUGAGAUUUUCGAUUUACGAACCUAUGAAGUACGAAUUUGAUAUCUUUUAUGAACACGAUUAAACUACAUUUGUAUUCAAAUUUUGAGUAAACAAAGGGAUUUCGGUCAAAGCAUGUUUGACUUAUGAUUCUAAUGUAUAACAAGAGAUUAAUGAUUUGCGAUAUGAGUUUUAUAUAGAAAUUAUGAUAUAUAUGAAUAAAAGUGUAUCUAUGGUACGAGAUUUUGAUUAUAUAUAGCCAAUUAAAGUAAACUAUGACUUUGAGUUAUGAGAAAAUAUGAAUUUGUUAAAUUAUUAAUUAUGAUGGGGAAGAAAUUACAGCAGCAGUGAUGAACACAUUGUGGUAUGUGUGUAUUCUGAAAUGAUGGGACAUAUGUCCUAGAAACAAGUCUUCCAAGCAGUACAAGAUUGGUGGGGGAGACGUCCCCAUGAGUUUAGAGAUGGUUGCAAAGUCCCUUCUCUAUUCGUAUUCUCUUCCCCAGAUUAUUUAAUUUUCUACCGAGGAAAUGGAAAGUUUCUAAAGGAUUUCGUAGUUGGAGGAUGACAUUGACGCGAUGACGCGAUGACUCGAUGACGUAAUACCAUCUGACGUAAUGACAAAGUAGAUGCAACCCGAAGACACAGAGAAGGAUGCAAGAUUGAGAGUAGUGCAUUGAAUGGUUACGGUCCAGCCAAAUAAGGCAAGAGCAUUAUAAGCCAUAAAUUCAGCUGUUAAAAGGGACAACAUUAAGACGCUGGAGCGUGAGCAUAGAAGAUUCCCCAUGAUUCAAGCGUGAAGAUUAAUGUAAUAAUUAGUGAAUUUAUUUUUGUAUUCUGGGGAAAAAGCCAAGGAAAAAAGAAGGCAUAUAAAAGGGAGAGAGAGGUCAUUGACAUGUUUUUUACGCAAUAUUGUGAGAAAGACAUUAUAGUGAACUAAGCAUUCUUGUAAACGACGAUCAGUCACGAAGAAAGAUAGUGAACUAUAUUAGUUUGGUGGAUCUCCAACCACCCGCGG
Long non-coding RNA from Beta vulgaris subsp. vulgaris (sugar beet), 2180 nucleotides. RefSeq lists it as uncharacterized. NCBI's taxonomy places the organism in Eukaryota, Viridiplantae, Streptophyta, Magnoliopsida, Caryophyllales, Amaranthaceae. The transcript is spliced from 3 exons. The record is from RefSeq and is a predicted model, not a curated record.